GAUUGGUGCGGAGGUCCAAGGGAAAAUUGAUGGAGCAUUCGACUCGGGUUAUUUAAUGACUGCAACUGUUAAUGGAAAGCUAUUAAGAGGAGUCUUGUUUGCACCAGGACUUGGAGAGGAAUGGGAAAAAUGUGAAGGGCUUUUCAAAAGAGAAUCUAAAUGACCAUAUCUUGAACCAGAGAUUUCAGUUUCUCCAUAUUUGGAUCCUUAGGGAGUAUUUAGCAUAUGCUAUGGGAAUCCCAGAUGUUAAAGGAGAUUUGGAGCGCCUAAUUGAUGAUUUUGUUUUGAUGUGUUUGUUUGUGGGGAAUGACUUUCUACCUCACAUUCCCUCAUUGGAAAUAUCUGAGGUUGUCCACAGAAAAAGGGAA
Long non-coding RNA from Humulus lupulus (European hop), 368 nucleotides. RefSeq lists it as uncharacterized. Lineage: Eukaryota; Viridiplantae; Streptophyta; Magnoliopsida; Rosales; Cannabaceae. The record is from RefSeq and is a predicted model, not a curated record. The transcript is spliced from 3 exons.